This 497-nucleotide ribosomal RNA is filed under the name uncultured bacterium. Its description in RNAcentral is "partial 16S ribosomal RNA". It matches the Rfam family "Bacterial small subunit ribosomal RNA", at positions 28 to 507 of the family's 1533-position model. The record is from RNAcentral.
GACGAACGCUGGCGGCGUGCCUAAUACAUGCAAGUUGAGCGAUGAAGCUUGGUGCUUGCUCCAAUUUGAAGAGCAGCGAACGGGUGAGUAACGCGUGGGGAAUCUGCCUUUGAGCGGGGGGCAACAUUUGGAAACGAAUGCUAAUACCGCAUAACAACUUUAAACAUAAGUUUUAAGUUUGAAAGAUGCAAUUGCAUCACUCAAAGAUGAUCCCGCGUUGUAUUAGCUAGUUUGUGAGGUAAAGGCCCACCAAGGCGAUGAUACAUAGCCGACCUGAGAGGGUGAUCGGCCACAAUGGGACUUGGACACGGGCCAAACUCCUACGGGAGGCAGCAGGAGGGGAUCUUCGGCAAUGGGCGAAAGGCUGACCGGGCAACGCCGCGGGGGUGAAGAAGGGUUUCGGAUCGUAAAACUCUGUUGGUAGAGAAGGACGUUGGGGGGAGGGGAAAGCUCAUCAAGUGACGGUAACUACCCAGAAAGGGACGGCUAACUACGUG